GAUGAACGCUGGCGGCGUGCCUAACACAUGCAAGUCGAACGGAGUCCAGCCUUAGAGACCUUCGGGUCAAAGAGGGGAAGACUGAGUGGCGGACGGGUGAGUAACACGUGGGCAACCUGGCUCAUAGAGGGGGAUAACAGAGAGAAAUUUCUGCUAAUACCGCAUAAGCACACACUGCCGCAUGGCAGAGUGUGAAAAGAGAAUCGCUAUGAGAUGGACCCGCGUCUGAUUAGCCAGUUGGCAGGGUAAGAGCCUACCAAAGCGACGAUCAGUAGCCGAUUUGAGAGGAUGAACGGCCACAUUGGGACUGAGACACGGCCCAAACUCCUACGGGAGGCAGCAGUGGGGGAUAUUGCACAAUGGGGGGAACCCUGAUGCAGCGACGCCGCGUGAGUGAAGAAGUAUUUCGGUAUGUAAAGCUCUAUCAGCAGGGAAGAUAAUGACAGUACCUGAAUAAGAAGCCCCGGUUAACUACGUG
This 478-nucleotide ribosomal RNA is filed under the name uncultured bacterium. Its description in RNAcentral is "partial 16S ribosomal RNA". It matches the Rfam family "Bacterial small subunit ribosomal RNA", at positions 28 to 507 of the family's 1533-position model. The record is from RNAcentral.